CAAAAACAUCGCCUCCUGCAAACCCUCAAUGUAUAGGAGGUCCUGCCUGCCCAGUGACAUAUUGUUAAACGGCCGCGGUAUUUUGACCGUGCUAAGGUAGCGCAAUCACUUGUCUUUUAAAUGAAGACCUGUAUGAAUGGUGGAACGAGGGCUUAACUGUCUCCCUUCUCCAGUCAAUGAAAUUGAUCUGCCCGUGCAGAAGCGGACAUACAAAUACAAGACGAGAAGACCCUUUGGAGCUUAAGACAAAAAGCCAACUGUGUAAAACCCCCAUACAAAAUGGAACUCAACAAAACAGUCAAUUUGGCCAGCGUCUUCGGUUGGGGCGACCGCGGGGGAAAAUAUAGCCCCCAUGCAGAACGGGAUACUUCCCUAAACUAAGAGAGACAUCUCUAAGUCACAGAAUAUCUGACUAUAUAGAUCCGGCCUAAAAGCCGAUCAACGGACCAAGUUACCCUAGGGAUAACAGCGCAAUCCCCUCCAAGAGUUCAUAUCGACAAGGGGGUUUACGACCUCGAUGUUGGAUCAGGACAUCCUAAUGGUGCAGCCGCUAUUAAGGGUUCGUUUGUUCAACGAUUAAAGUCCUACGUGAUCUGA
This 597-nucleotide ribosomal RNA is filed under the name Caenotropus schizodon. Its description in RNAcentral is "partial 16S ribosomal RNA". It matches the Rfam family "Bacterial large subunit ribosomal RNA", at positions 1808 to 2608 of the family's 2925-position model. The record is from RNAcentral. Lineage: Eukaryota; Metazoa; Chordata; Actinopteri; Characiformes; Chilodontidae.